Molecule: non-coding RNA, 937 nt
Organism: Manis javanica (Malayan pangolin)
Lineage: Eukaryota; Metazoa; Chordata; Mammalia; Pholidota; Manidae
Source: RefSeq, a predicted model, not a curated record
CCGGCGCGGCGAGAGCCACAGCGGAGCCCAGCGACAGCUCGAACCUGAGCCGCAGGAUUCGGGGGACCGGAGGGCUUUGCCGUCCGCCAAGAUCGGAACUCUAAAAGGUGGACACUGGAGCAUCAGUACCUGGAAGGAGAAGAAGAUACUGGGCCAUUUCAAGCCCUCCAGGCCCUUGACAUAAAGCUUAAGCCCUACAGGAACUGACGUGCUCCUCCUCCUACUGGUGCUUUUCUUCUAGGACAAGGGCACAUGGGGCCAAGAACACCGGUGAAUUAUGUCCUUCCUCAGACACUGGCUGUGGGAGAAUCAGGGCUCUUCCUCUCCCAGCAGAUGCUCUCCUGCUGAGUGAAGUAUGUGAUGGAGCCAUGAGUACGAGAUUCAGUCUGUCCUCAAUUCCUUGUGGAGUGGAGAGAAAGCAGGCCCAGAGACCAGGAGACCUGGUUCAAAUUCAAGAUUAAGUGAGAUAAUGCUAUAUCCAUUAAGAUCAUCUUGGUAGCAAGGACAGAAAAAUCGAACCCAAGAUGGCUUUGAGCGAAAAAAAAAGAAUUUGAGACUCACUUGAAGCUGAAAAGUCUACGGGUGGUAAUAGGGUUCUGCACCAAUUUCCAACAUGUAUGUUGGGGAGGUUUUCCCCAUACCACCAAGGAAUUUUCCAAGACCCCAGCUGGGUGUCUUAGAAUUCAACUCAAUGCUGACGCUAUAUACCUGGAAAUAGUGCUAGAGCCUGCAAGUUAAGGGCUCAGUCCCACAAGACUGGACCCCACCCCAAUGCCAAUCUCAAGUCCAGAUUGUCACCUGUGCUUCUAGCCAAUCAGCUAUAACUCUGAGGUUCCCCCAACCUUCUCCCUGGGUUUGAUUAAUUUGCUAGAGCAGCUCACAGAACUCAGAGAAACAUUUUACUUACUAGAUUACUGGUUUACUAUAUUUUUAAGUG